RNAcentral lists this small RNA (17 nucleotides) under Arabidopsis thaliana (thale cress). RNAcentral describes it as "ATSL108970". The record is from RNAcentral. Lineage: Eukaryota; Viridiplantae; Streptophyta; Magnoliopsida; Brassicales; Brassicaceae.
AAAAACAGAAACAGAAA